GGCCUGGUGGUGUAACGGUAACACACCCUCCUUCACUGCGAGGUGAUUGAAAAUACUGUUGCAGGGCGUUCCUUGUUCGAAUCAAGAUCAGGUCA
Molecule: non-coding RNA, 95 nt
Organism: Mycena polygramma
Lineage: Eukaryota; Fungi; Basidiomycota; Agaricomycetes; Agaricales; Mycenaceae
Source: the annotation of a GenBank genome assembly